Molecule: unclassified non-coding RNA, 305 nt
Organism: Erinaceus europaeus (western European hedgehog)
Lineage: Eukaryota; Metazoa; Chordata; Mammalia; Eulipotyphla; Erinaceidae
Gene: 7SK
Rfam family: 7SK RNA
About the family: 7SK was discovered as an abundant small nuclear RNA in the mid-70s but a possible function has only recently been suggested. Two independent studies have found that 7SK RNA binds the CDK9/cyclin T complex (known as elongation factor P-TEFb).
Source: Ensembl
GGAUGUGAGGGCAAUGUGGCUGUGACAUCGGUCACCUUAUUGAUCUCCAGGGUUGAUUCAGCUGAUCUGGCUGACUAGGCAGGUGUCCCCUUCCUCCCUCACCGCUCCAUGUGUGUCCCUCCUGAAGCUGUGAACUUUCCCCAAAGGAUGGCCUUCCCCGAAUAGAGACUGACCAGUCUUUGGUUGAGGGUAUACUAGUAGCUGCGCUCCCUUUCUAGAACCUCCAAACAAGUUCUCAACUCCACUGUGAAUACAAAACACCAGAGGAUUGUAUUUAAAAUACAGUUUCUGAUUCAGAGACUCUG